UGAAACGAUACGUAACAAAGCUCAUACCAUCGGUGCCCUAAUUUUGAAUCGAUACGUAUGAAACAGAGUCUAUCCGUCUGCGAUUGAACAACAACCAAAUUCCGUCCGGAGAUUGGAGCUAUAAAUCGACUGAAUCUAUCUCGAUUGGAGCUAGAAGUCAAUUGAAUCUGUUUCGAUUGGAAUUAUGCGAUUGAAAACCUAGAUUUGAACACCGAAUCUCAUAAGGAGCUGAAAUGAAUCUGAUUUUGUUUUUCAAUCUAUUGGAUUAAAGAAUACUGAAUAUUUGGAGAAUAAUUGAAGAUUAAGUUCUAUUGGAAGGAAUCAUUUAUGAAGAAAUCAGAAUCGUUAACGGAGAUUAUGUCCAUCGGUUUCUCUCUUUUCAUCUAUAACAUCAGGAAGGUCGGAGUAGUUAAAGGCGCACACAAGUCGCUAAGGACUCCGGGGACAACACAAUAAUACUUUAUGUGGUUUUGCACAAUAUGCCUAGGCCUUACCUUGCCUGGGCUCCUAGGUUUGCAGGAGUACUUCCAUGAGAAAGACUUUUUGAAUCAUCAAGAAGUAUUUGGAAUCUUCUUCCAUAGCUAAAAAAGUAGAAUGGUCCUUUCAAAACGUGCUGGGAAGUAUGCUUGACUUCUAAGGUUAAUUCCAACAACAGAAUCCCAUUUUAUUGUCCAAGAGUUGAACAUAGAGCUCAACAAUCUUCAUACCUUGAGCGAAGGUGUUUCUAAUGCUACCCCUAUGUACAACAAAAGUGUAUUAGAGAACAUGUUUAUGGGACAUGGUGCAGAAUUUGUUAAAAUGGCUUUCUUAGGAUGAAGGCCUUACAGGAGGCUUUAGUUUUGCUUAAGGUAUGAUAUUGUUAAAGAAAUUUAUGUUUAUUAUAUUGAUUUAGGUAUGGGCUCGACAAAGAACUUCUUUGAACAUUUAUGGUUCUGUGAAUGGGUACCUUAUAUCUCAAUCCUAAUGGCUUACCUUGCAUCAGAAUUUUGUAAAGCUCGUCUUAACAACGCAAUGACAGUAAUGCAUAUCUUUCGUAUCACAUUGGGCUUUAUUCUCUAAUUGAAAGGGGGUGGGGGUACUUGGAGCGACGUAUGAUCUUCAUGGGUCAGACAUCACUACUGAGGUUUCUGAUGAUCCAGAGAUAUGGGCUCAUGUGUGGCAGGAGGUAGCAGGGACAGGGUAUAUGAGCCAGUGGGAGUAAUCAGUGUUGAAUCUCAUUUGGACAAAUUUGUUAGUUGUGUGGUGAAUUUAAAACAGGUUUUAUAAUUUUUUUGGUGAUUUUUUUUGCAUUAUUUAGUAGAAUGGGAUCUGUCUUUUCUUUUAGCUUUUUUUAUUUAUUUUUAUUUUUUUUAUUUUAAAUGUUCCGUCACAAAUUCGUCACAAAAAAUAAAGAUGUUUUGUUGCAAAUGUGUUGCAUUAACUAAAACAAAACAAUUAAGAAAUGCGUAGGAAAUGCGUUGCAAACUUUGUAACACAAUAUCUUCGUAGGAAUUGCGUUAAAAUUUGUGUAGUAAAUGCGUAGUAAUUAGUUUCCGACGAGGCUUUUUCCAACAUUAAGGUUUUGUUGCAAAUGCGUAGCAAAUCUGAGUUUGAUACGCAUUUGUGACGGA
Molecule: long non-coding RNA, 1610 nt
Filed under: Helianthus annuus (common sunflower)
Lineage: Eukaryota; Viridiplantae; Streptophyta; Magnoliopsida; Asterales; Asteraceae
Source: RNAcentral